GCGGGACUAGUACAGUGGCAGUACACGUGCUUGCCAAGCACGAGACGCGAGUUCGAUUCUCGUGUCCCGCUCCA
RNAcentral lists this transfer RNA (74 nucleotides) under Candidatus Parcubacteria bacterium. RNAcentral describes it as "tRNA-Gly". It matches the Rfam family "tRNA". From Rfam's summary of the family: Transfer RNA (tRNA) molecules are approximately 80 nucleotides in length. Their secondary structure includes four short double-helical elements and three loops (D, anti-codon, and T loops). Lineage: Bacteria; Candidatus Parcubacteria. The record is from RNAcentral.